Molecule: transfer RNA, 72 nt
Filed under: Spirochaetia bacterium
Lineage: Bacteria; Pseudomonadati; Spirochaetota; Spirochaetia
Description: tRNA-Pro
Rfam family: tRNA
About the family: Transfer RNA (tRNA) molecules are approximately 80 nucleotides in length. Their secondary structure includes four short double-helical elements and three loops (D, anti-codon, and T loops).
Source: RNAcentral
CGGGACGUAGCGCAGAGGUAGCGCACAUGUCUGGGGGGCAUGCGGUCGCUGGUUCGAUUCCAGUCGUCCCGA